Molecule: long non-coding RNA, 1012 nt
Organism: Pieris napi
Lineage: Eukaryota; Metazoa; Arthropoda; Insecta; Lepidoptera; Pieridae
Exons: 4
Source: RefSeq, a predicted model, not a curated record
GACUGCAAUUGAUGUAAUUUUUUUAGUUAGGUUUUGGUACUCGCGGUCCGGGAUGCGCCGCUCCAGCCCGAUACCUCAACAUACACCAAUACCUGGGAUGGAUUGACGAGGUGAUCAGCCAGCGACCUUUACGAGAGAGGUUUGAUGAUGAAGAGGGUCUGAUCUUCAGACGCGUCAGCCCAGUCAAGCUUGUUAUGUACAAAGGCAAUCUUCGACACCCAAAGUCGCAUGGUCAAUGUGAUCGCAAGGAUCGUGGCAACGUGCUGUACAAAGACAGUUCUGAAGUCCUCGUCAAUAAGAACUUUGCACAAGGCUUCUUCUUUCUGUCACUGGCCCAAGCGGCGUCGGUGCGAUGCGCAACAAUUUACCUGGACGUCAGCUCACGCACCAACGCAGCCGUCUGGCUGGAGCACUAUUGUCAUAAGGAGCUCAUGGGACACAGACAAGGAUAUAAAUUCCGACAUAUCAACCCAGAUGAGUGUUUCGUCUACUUUACCAGCGUGGCAUUCAUCGAGUUUCGAUUCUAUUUCUCAUUUAAAGCGGUCCUGGAGGUGACGUUGUAUGGAUCUGAGGAGGAAAUGAAAAUUGCCGAAGGUUUUUGGGCAGCCACAGAGUCAACUUACGCAUGGUGGCCCACAUAUACCGAUAUCCGCUCUGGUGGGUUCGUCCCCAGAAGUAGUUGGUAUUGGUAUAUGUAAUAAGUAGAAUGUCAAUUGAUAAUUAGAGUAUGUUAUUACGUAUACAAUUGUGCACAGAGUCCAUCAUUAAUUACAUCUAAUGAACAGUGGGACACCUAUGUAGUUUAAUUUAUUUUUUCCAAUCCAUCAAAUUUUAUCCAAUUUAUUAACGACUGAUUUAAGAAAGCACUGGACAGUACAAUACGUGUUUAGCUUCAAAUUGGUGACUUCUAAAUUACAACUACGGUACGGGUUUAAAAAUGAUGAUGACAUUGAGAAUUAUAUGAAAUAUUUAUUAAUAAUAAUAAUGGUAUUAAAUUAAUUGUAUAACUUCA